This 651-nucleotide ribosomal RNA is filed under the name uncultured bacterium. RNAcentral describes it as "bacterial SSU rRNA". It matches the Rfam family "Bacterial small subunit ribosomal RNA", at positions 159 to 797 of the family's 1533-position model. The record is from RNAcentral.
GAUGCUAAUACCGGAUAACAACACUAGACGCAUGUCUAGAGUUUGAAAGAUGGUUCUGCUAUCACUCUUGGACGGACCUGCGGUGCAUUAGCUAGUUGGUAAGGUAACGGCUUACCAAGGCAAUGAUGCAUAGCCGAGUUGAGAGACUGAUCGGCCACAUUGGGACUGAGACACGGCCCAAACUCCUACGGGAGGCAGCAGUAGGGAAUCUUCCACAAUGGACGAAAGUCUGAUGGAGCAACGCCGCGUGAGUGAAGAAGGGUUUCGGCUCGUAAAGCUCUGUUGGUAGUGAAGAAAGAUAGAGGUAGUAACUGGCCUUUAUUUGACGGUAAUUACUUAGAAAGUCACGGCUAACUACGUGCCAGCAGCCGCGGUAAUACGUAGGUGGCAAGCGUUGUCCGGAUUUAUUGGGCGUAAAGCGAGUGCAGGCGGUUCAAUAAGUCUGAUGUGAAAGCCUUCGGCUCAACCGGAGAAUUGCAUCAGAAACUGUUGAACUUGAGUGCAGAAGAGGAGAGUGGAACUCCAUGUGUAGCGGUGGAAUGCGUAGAUAUAUGGAAGAACACCAGUGGCGAAGGCGGCUCUCUGGUCUGCAACUGACGCUGAGGCUCGAAAGCAUGGGUAGCGAACAGGAUUAGAUACCCUGGUAGUCCA